Molecule: long non-coding RNA, 2940 nt
Filed under: Marmota monax (woodchuck)
Lineage: Eukaryota; Metazoa; Chordata; Mammalia; Rodentia; Sciuridae
Source: RNAcentral
AGCUAGCUGAGGAACCAAAACUAAACCCCAAGUCUCACUCUUGUCCUUUAUAUAAACGAGGGACUUACACUUUAAGAUUUUGAAGAAUUCAUCCAGCUUGACAAAUUUAUAAACUAUAUGUCUAUAAAACAUGUAUUUACCUUGUAUACAUAUUUGAAGGCUUGAAACUUCACCAAGGAGAUAUAUUUAACAUUUUAAUGAUAAUCAUUUUUCUAAGACAACAAGUAAGUACAUGUUUCCCCACCAUAACAAUUUCAUCUAUGGGUAGGCAUUAGCAAUAUAAUAUCUCACUUUAAAAUCCUACAAUGUGAUUAUUAUUCUUCAGACAUAAAUAAAAAGUACAAUAAUUUUGGACACCAUCAAAAUAACAUUUGCAAACCUUAAGAGUUUUGUAAGUUACAUUAAAGAUGAUUAAUGAUUUGCAUGUAGCAUUCUCAAUGUUGAACAUAAAUAUUCCAAUAUAUCCUUGUUGCUUGAGUGUCCCAGUAUGGGAGGAGGUAGACUUGGCACAUUGAAAGCUAUUCCUAUUCUAAAGAAAUUAUAUGGAAGGUUCAGAAUUCUUCAGAGAAUCAGCUAUAAUAAAAUCCAUGUUAAGAAUUCAUUUUGUAUGAGAGAAUGUGAGAGUAAAAUCCAAAAGAGGUUAAUUUUACCCAGGAGAGAAUUUCAUAUCCUUUUUCAUUUGUCAGAAUAUACUUGAUUCAUAAGUGUUCUUUCACCUACCUAGGGCCACAUAACAGGAAAUUCCACUCAUGGUAUCUCCUAAUAACAACUUUGGUUUUUUUGUAGGCAUUUUGGUCACUUCCCCUUCUCCUCUGGGGCAGGUCCUUUUCCCUUCUGUUGCAAACCAACACAAUAUCAUACAGCCUCCAUGUUGACCCAGCCAAUUAAUUUGUUCAUGGAUCACACUGCGGAUGUAGCCUUACUCUCUAUCGCCAACUUUUGAUGCUAUUUUUUUAUUGAUAAUAAAAGGAACGUUAUUUGGAGAAAUAUUCUUUAGAAGUAUAAAAACCAGAAAAAAUUAAAAACACCCAUAAAAUUCAACCACCCGGAAUUGGCAGAUCCAUUCUAGCCAUUGGGGGGAAAAACAUUUUGGGGUUCCUAUGUACAGUUUGUAUCACUCUUUUCACUAAACAUUAUAAACUUUUGCUGUGCUGCUGAAUACUCUUAAUAAACAUUUAUUAUGUUGACUGCAUACUAGGUCUAUUGUAUAAUCAUGCUAUAAUUUAUUUAACCGAUUUUCUCCUGUUGGACUUUUAGAUAAGUAAGCAUAAAUUUUGCCCACAUUUUAGACUAUUUCUUUAGGACAGAUUCCCAGAAGUGGAAUUAGAGGAUCAGGGGAUAUAAACAUUUUUAAAGCUCCUCCUAAUAGAUACUGCCAAAUUGCUUUUCAGAAAGCUGUUGCCAAUUUACACUUCCAACAUUGCCAGCAUAUUUUUCUACCAAUAUAGAUCCAUGUAAAGGAUAAUAAAAUUUAAGUGGAACAUACAGUCCUCCCAUUAUUAAUGCAGUUGGAGAAGCAUCAUGACCACGGCACAAAGUCUUAGGGCAAAGGUCAUACCUAUUUCCAGGUUUGCAGUUAACAAGGAGUUAGUAUGAGCACAUGGAACAGUGAAGAGUAAAGAGUCAUAUAAUUAGAUUUCAGACUGUCAAAUGUAAGGCCUGUGUCUCUUUUGUUUAUUGCUGUACCUCAGCACACAGGACAGUGCCUGGUACCUCAGCCAUUCAACAUUCAUUGAGUAAAUUAAUACAGAAUAUUCUUUCAGAUAGCCUUUCAGCCAGUGGAGGGUUGAUUUACUCCUGGUUCAAGGGAAAAAUGAUUGGCUGAUCACUCUUAUAAAGUUCUGUUCAACCUUGAGAUUCUAUUGCAACUUUGGAAAUCAGCUUAAGUGAAGGUGAUACAAUAAAGAUCUCUUUAGAGGAAAAACAAGUAUACUCAUCUAAAAGUACAUACUCUGGCACCAGUUACAACAGUUACAAGGUUAAAAAAAAUAUACACACACAGAUAUACAUAUAUACACACAAAUAUAUAUAUACACGAAAAUAUACAUACAUAUACACACCCAUAUAUAGUAUUUAUUUUUAUAAACUUGCAAAAAAAUUUGUGUUUUGCCACCUCCAUAGUACACAUUUUAAUAGGUGAUAACAUAUUCAAAUGCCAUGGUCAAAGCAUUUUCAGAACUACCUUUAGUUNNNNNNNNNNNNNNNNNNNNNNNNNNNNNNNNNNNNNNNNNNNNNNNNNNNNNNNNNNNNNAACUUUGGAAAUCAGCUUAAGUGAAGGUGAUACAAUAAAGAUCUCUUUAGAGGAAAAACAAGUAUACUCAUCUAAAAGUACAUACUCUGGCACCAGUUACAACAGUUACAAGGUUAAAAAAAAUAUACACACACACAUAUACAUAUAUACACACAAAUAUACAUACAUAUACACACCCAUAUAUAGUAUUUAUUUUUAUAAACUUGCAAAAAAAUUUGUGUUUUGCCACCUCCAUAGUACACAUUUUAAUAGGUGAUAACAUAUUCAAAUGCCAUGGUCAAAGCAUUUUCAGAACUACCUUUAGUUCAUUCCAUUAUUGCCAAUUGUAACUUGGCACCAUUUCUAAUAUUGCCAAAAUAGGUUUUGAGAUAUUACAUGGGAAUAACACAGGUGGUAGUUUGCAAAAAAUCAUUUUUAAUCAAAAAGCACAAAAUUCAUUUUGUGAACUGGAAUAUGGUCAAGGUGAAAUAGCCAAUCAUUCAGUUCUCGGUCAUUCUCUUGGUCUCAAGAUUCCACAAUUUCUGUAUAGUAAAUCGUCAGACACUGACAGAUCCGCUUGGCCUUAACAAUGUUAUUGAUGGAAAACAAGCUAUCAUCUGUCAUACACACACACACACACACACACACUAGAUCAGAGGUAGGCAAACUAUGGGCCAUGGGCCAAGUCUGGUACACCACCUGUCUUUCCA